UGAGAGAAAGAGGUCAGCCUUCGGUAGGCAUGGGUUAUCCUCAACAGGCAUCGUUAACUGGCAGAUUCUCCAGUCAUGUACAUAAUGUGUUGGUGCCGUCUACUGUGAAUGCAGCAAUUAAUAACGUGACAGCACCACAAGACCUGAACUAUAAUUCAUUUGAUGCCAGAGAAAGAGUUCAGAUGUCUUCUGGCAUGGUUUAUCCUCAACAGCCAUUGUCAACUGGCAGAUUCUCUGAUCAUGUACAUAAUGUGCUGGUGCCGUCUACUGUGAAUGCAGCAUUUACUAAUGUGACAGCACCACAAGACCUGAACUAUAAUUCAUUUGAUGCGAGAGAAAGAGUUCAGUUGUCUUUUGGCAUGGUUGAUCCUCAACAGGCAUUGUUUACUGGUAGACUCGGAGAAUCUGCUGCAUUCAAUUACUUUGUGGGGAAACUUGGCAAGCCUUUUGUGAAAUGGGUUAAU
Molecule: long non-coding RNA, 464 nt
Filed under: Solanum tuberosum (potato)
Lineage: Eukaryota; Viridiplantae; Streptophyta; Magnoliopsida; Solanales; Solanaceae
Description: long non-coding RNA (STUB_LNC009455)
Source: RNAcentral